GCAAGUCUGGUGCCAGCAGCCGCGGUAAUUCCAGCUCCAAUAGCGUAUAUUAAAGUUGUUGCAGUUAAAAAGCUCGUAGUUGAACCUUGGGUCUGGCUGGCCGGUCCGCCUCACCGCGUGUACUGGUCCGGCCGGGCCUUUCCUCCUGGGGAGCCGCAUGCCCUUCACUGGGUGUGUCGGGGAACCAGGACUUUUACUUUGAAAAAAUUAGAGUGUUCAAAGCAGGCCUAUGCUCGAAUACAUUAGCAUGGAAUAAUAGAAUAGGACGUGUGGUUCUAUUUUGUUGGUUUCUAGGACCGCCGUAAUGAUUAAUAGGGAUAGUCGGGGGCAUCAGUAUUCAAUUGUCAGAGGUGAAAUUCUUGGAUUUAUUGAAGACUAACUACUGCGAAAGCAUUUGCCAA
Molecule: ribosomal RNA, 401 nt
Filed under: uncultured fungus
Lineage: Eukaryota; Fungi
Description: SSU rRNA
Rfam family: Eukaryotic small subunit ribosomal RNA
Source: RNAcentral